This 460-nucleotide ribosomal RNA is filed under the name uncultured bacterium. Its description in RNAcentral is "partial 16S ribosomal RNA". It matches the Rfam family "Bacterial small subunit ribosomal RNA", at positions 338 to 795 of the family's 1533-position model. The record is from RNAcentral.
CCUACGGGAGGCAGCAGUGAGGAAUAUUGGUCAAUGGACGAGAGUCUGAACCAGCCAAGUAGCGUGAAGGAUGACUGCCCUAUGGGUUGUAAACUUCUUUUAUAAAGGAAUGAAACGAGGCACGUGUGCCUUUUUGCAUGUACUUUAUGAAUAAGGAUCGGCUAACUCCGUGCCAGCAGCCGCGGUAAUACGGAGGAUCCGAGCGUUAUCCGUAUUUAUUGGGUUUAAAGGGAGCGUAGAUGGGUUGUUAAGUCAGUUGUGAAAGUUUGCGGCUCAACCGUAAAAUUGCAAUUGAUACUGGCAGUCGUGAGUACAGUUGAGGUAGGCGGAAUUCGUGGUGUAGCGGUGAAAUGCUUAGAUAUCACGAAGAACCCCGAUUGCGAAGGCAGCUUACUAAACUGUGACUGACAUUGAUGCUCGAAAGUGUGGGUAUCAAACAGGAUUAGAUACCCUUGUAGUC